CAGGUGACAUCACUGCUAGAGGAGAAAGCAGUUCCUAUUACCAACAUACCUCCCUUUUUCUUUUUACAAAAAGAAGAAAAACAAGAGGAAGGGAGAAGCUGAUGGUGUAAGAGGAAAUAGGGAAACCAUGUCUCUUAGUCUACUUCCUGCUGUCUUGGGGCGUCGUCAAUUUUGGGGUAUAGCUGACUUUCAUCAUCAGUAUCCAUUUGGUAAACGUUUGUAUCAGACUCCUCUGUGGACAGCGGCUGGAAAUUCUGUAAGAGGAACUGAUUAAUAGUUUGAUUAGAAAUUUUCUGUAUCUGUCAUUGAAGAAAUGUCAAGAUAACAGUAAUGAGGCAGGGAGAGAGUAGGAAAGGCAUUAUGAAAGGGUGUAACUACUUCCUUAUAGAGUUUUCAGAAAUCCAGGAAUUGGAGGUCUCACGUUCCUUGAAAUUUUGUAUGUCUGAUUGAAGUUUCUGGAUUUUAUUUCUCAAUAUCCUCGAUUGGUUGACAUAAAAACAGCAUUCUUCUUGGAGGGCCAGGCAAAGACCACCUUCUUUAGAUCCAGCCAUCCUCCCUUGGUCUCUUCUGUUUUGCUUCUUUGAGUCUGUUGAUUAUAUCAUAAUUGUCCAGUAGUUUAUUGCUAAUAUCCACUUAUAAGUACCAUUCAUUGCCUUUUGGGUUGGAGUUGUCUCAGUCAUGAUGAUAUUUUUUUAGUUCCAUCCAUUCACCUGCAAAAUUCCUGAUGUCCCUGUUUUUACUGAUGAAGUAUUAUUCCAUUGUGUAGAUAUACUACAUUUUCUGUAUCCAUUCUUCAUUUGAGAGAUAUAAAGGUUUAUGUCUCUGAGCCCAAUAUGACCCUAGGGGGUACAGAGUGACAUAGUUCUUGCACCCGGGACAGAACACUUGCAUGAGCCUCAAAGAGUGCCGAUGGCUAUUGUGCUUGUCAGGCUUGUUUGUGUAGUAAUAUAUAUACUUUGUGGACCCACUAGCAAUGGAGAACUCUUUCCUUCUGAGGAAUGUCCUCACAGUUUAUAUUAAUGGUUCCAUAAUAAUUAGCAUGAGUCCAGGAGUUUAAGCUGUGGCUAUGUCUUGGCAAAAUGCUAAACACUGGGACCUUCAGGAAAGCCUUAAAGACUGCAGGAAUAAAUGGCUUUGAAAAUACAUAAUUUCUCAACUAUUCCAAAAGUAAGGAUGCAAUAGGAGUUAUAUGAGGGGCUUCAUUGAUCUAAAGGAACAAAAGUAGAGAGAUUUGGGGAGUAAUGAUCCCAGGAGAUCUCACCCAGCUAAGGAUUUUUGUUUUUGCUCACUAAGGCAGAUAGAUUCCUGAGUUUGGGAUCAGCCUAGCGCAGAGCAAGUUUAGGCUCAGGAAUGGUGGAAAUGGUAAUUUCAGGGCAGAGUUCCACCCAACUAUUUUGUCACCUAUGCUUAACAAAGGCAGAGAGAUCUCUGAAUUCUUUUGCAAUGUUAAGAAAGAAGUGUAUGCUUGCUGUCUUCUAAGAAUCCCCUGGUGUCAUGGGAUGCUGAUUCAUAAGGUUCCUGAAGAAAUCCUGCUCCCUGGGACAGAACAGUUUGGCAGUGAUUGGUCUCUGAAUUACCCAUGGCUUAGCUUUCCUAAGCACUCUUUCGUCGACACUCUAAGCUUUCCCUAUGUUCCUCUGAACUUUAACUGGCUAACUUAAAAGACAUGAAUUUUUCUCUAUGACCUGUCCUCCUCCUGACAGCUGUGAAUAUGAUUUUCAGCUUCUACAUCCUAUUGUUUUUAUCUUAAACCCGAAUAAAAUUGUCUUCAAGUUUC
Molecule: non-coding RNA, 1777 nt
Organism: Rattus norvegicus (Norway rat)
Lineage: Eukaryota; Metazoa; Chordata; Mammalia; Rodentia; Muridae
Source: RefSeq, a predicted model, not a curated record